GGUGUGAUAGCCAGGGUUUUAUGCAAGUGAUUAAUCCACUGUGUACCAGUCAAAAUGUGCUAGCUUAUAUACAUACUGAAUAAAAAAUAACAACCAAACUUAGGGAUGCAUAACUACAAAGUUGGAUCUCUCGCUCAUAUCCCAUGUGCAUCUUGGGUGGGUGGGGCCUCUGUUCCACAGUGCCCUCCUUCGAGGCACAGGCUGGCAGAGCUUGGACCAUCUGGAAUAGCGCCAUCUGCCAAGGCACUGGGGAGCAACGGGUGAAGUGGGAACUGACUGCGAAAGGCUUCUCCUUGGGAGAGAGGAAGUUACUUCUAGGCACACUUCAUUGGCCACGGCAUAUGCAGGAAAAGGGCAGUCCCACCUUGUGGCCAGGAAAGGAGAAACAGAAAUAUUGGUGAAUGGCACCAAUCUCAACCAAAUGGAGCUAAAUAUUUUCACUGUAGCCGCUGGCCUACACCAAUGCCAGAUCCAAGCCAUGCCUGCGACCUACACAUACCACAGCUCACGGCAACGCUGGAUCCUUAACCCACUGAGCAAGGCCAGGGAUCAAGCCUGUGUCCUCAUGAAUACUAGUUGGGUUUGUUACCGCUGAGCCACAAUGGGAACUCCAGGGCUGCUCUUUCUUAGCUGUAACCACACAGCAGUUACUCUGAGACCUGUACCUGGGAAUGCAUCCAUGAAAGCAGUGUGAGCAGCCCCAAUUUAAGAAACUGAAGUUUUCUUUUCUGAAAGUAUCCAUUAAUUGCAUAUCAUCAUUAAGGAAAAGUUCAUUCCCUCUGUAAAGAGAUAAAAUGAUUUAACAUGAGCACAUGAGCAGACACGGGACCACACUCCCACCUCACCUUCCGUCCGUAUCAAGAAUUCAGUUCAACAGACUCUGGUUUGAGAAAUACAAGGUAAUGUCAUAUAUUUUUAGUAAGUGAUGGUGAUGUUGUAAUGCCGUGUUAUAGAUGAGGAACCAGGCUCUGAGAGGUCAAGUCACAUUUCCGAAUAGCACAGGCUUUGCCUCUCUGGCCUCCAAGUGCGUGUGCUCACCUGCAUCCUCUUGCUAGUUUGCAGCAAGCCUGGAACCGAGCAUACUGAGGGCUGGGGCUGUGGGGUCACGAGACAGAUGCAGCUGGACCACCCACCCUCGACUGGACACCCCUGCACUAAUAAUCUUUCAAAGAAGUGUGUUUAUUUUGUUUGUUUGGGUUUUUUUGUUUUUUUUCUAGGGCCAUACCUGCGGCACAUGGAGGUACCCAGGCUAGGGGUCUAAUCGGAGCUAUAGCUGCGACCUACACCACAAUUCACGGCAAUGCCGGAUCCUUAACCCACUGAGUGAGGCCGGGGAUUGAGCCCGAAACCUCAUGGUUCCUAUUCGGGUUCAUUAACCACUGAGCCAUGACGGGAACGCCAGAAGUGUUUUUAAAUUAGCAAUUUUCGUGGCUUUUGCUACAGAAGCCCACUUAUUAUUGUUGUUUUUUUCCUGGGCCUUGGAGAGGGCCUUUUCCUGAGGCUGGGAGCCAGGGAUGUCCCAGAAGAUGAAGACCAGAGCCCUUCCCAGAAAAGCACCCUUGCCCAGCAGAGUCCGCCUCCUGAUGCCUGGAUGUGGUGGGGUGGGGUUUGGAGUGGGGGCGUGGGGGAUGCGGGGGCUUUUAGGAGCCAGAGAGCUGGGGAGAUGUGCAGGCUGAGUGAUGCGUCCUAAGUGCCGUGGAAGUCAGAACAGGGGUGUGACAGGGGCUGUGAGGAUUCUUGUAAAUUGAAGACUGCCUGUAAUUUGAUGAAGGCACCCACAGCUAAUGGACUUUUAAAGGAGCGCUGAAAGCAAAUCAAGUGAGGAAGAUGGCAUGUGGGGAGAAUUAAAAGGCAAAUAGGGUGAAAUUGUCAGUCAACCAGAUGCAGCCAUUAUUCACCAUUUCUAACUUAGAAACAAGUGAGGUCUAGAUCAUGUAUAAACCAGGAACACUCUGACAUUAACUAAUUUGGGGAUUUGCAAC
This 1982-nucleotide long non-coding RNA is filed under the name Sus scrofa (pig). RNAcentral's name for it is "lncRNA (ENSSSCG00030068174.1)". The record is from RNAcentral. Lineage: Eukaryota; Metazoa; Chordata; Mammalia; Artiodactyla; Suidae.